RNAcentral lists this ribosomal RNA (747 nucleotides) under uncultured bacterium. RNAcentral describes it as "bacterial SSU rRNA". It matches the Rfam family "Bacterial small subunit ribosomal RNA", at positions 28 to 776 of the family's 1533-position model. The record is from RNAcentral.
GAUGAACGCUGGCGGCGUGCCUAACACAUGCAAGUUGAGCGAGAAAUCACUUAAAGAAGCUUCGGUAGACUUAAGAGAUGGAGAGCAGCGGACGGGUGAGUAACGCGUGGGAAACCUGCCCUUGACAGGAGGAUAGCCGAGAGAAAUUUCGAUUAAUACUUCAUAAAGCAGAGCAUUCGCAUGGAUGAACUGCCAAAGAAUUAUCGGUCAAGGAUGGUCCCGCGUCUGAUUAGCUGGUUGGUAAGGUAGCGGCUUACCAAGGCGACGAUCAGUAGCCGGCCUGAGAGGGUGAACGGCCACAUUGGAACUGAGACACGGUCCAGACUCCUACGGGAGGCAGCAGUGGGGAAUAUUGCACAAUGGGCGAAAGCCUGAUGCAGCAACGCCGCGUGAAGGAAGAAGGCUUUCGAGUCGUAAACUUCUGUCCAAAGGGAAGAAGAAUGACGGUACCUUUGAAGAAAGCCCCGGCUAACUACGUGCCAGCAGCCGCGGUAAUACGUAGGGGGCGAGCGUUAUCCGGAAUUACUGGGCGUAAAGAGUAUGUAGGUGGUUAAGUAAGCGUAGGGUUUAAGGCGACAGCCCAACUGUCGUAUGCCCCGCGAACUGUUUAACUUGAGUACAGGAGGGGAAGGCGGAAUUCCUAGUGUAGCGGUGAAAUGCGUAGAUAUUAGGAGGAACACCAGUGGCGAAGGCGGCCUUCUGGACUGUAACUGACACUGAGAUACGAAAGCGUGGGUAGCAAACAGG